This 1381-nucleotide long non-coding RNA is filed under the name Mus caroli (Ryukyu mouse). Its description in RNAcentral is "lncRNA (MGP_CAROLIEiJ_G0005236.1)". The record is from RNAcentral. Lineage: Eukaryota; Metazoa; Chordata; Mammalia; Rodentia; Muridae.
AGAAGCCAAGCGCGCACACGGCGAUCUCGGGCCGCCCCCCGCCGGCUCCCCGCCGCUGACUGGGUGCUCACUUUAAUGCUGCGGGGAGCCCGGGAGCCCGGGGGCGCCUCGCUCCCCGUUCCCUCCCCAUCCCGUUAGGACUCUUGGCCUGGGGUCCUCAUCCCGGACCGCCCGGCUUUGUGUGCUGGCCCCGUCACCGCCACAGCCGGAGGCACGUCACAAAUCCGAGGAGCGGCCGACAGGACAGCCCUGGUCCCGGGCUCUUGGCGGAUCCCGGUCGGAUGCAACGCGCCGAGCCGCGCCCGCGGGGCUGCGGAUAGACCGGCCGGGGCAAGUCCCUAAGCUCUUCGGAUGUCCCCAACUCGGAGAGGGCUUGUGUUUGUUUUAACUGCCGGACUCCUCUUCCCACCGGAAUGCCUACUCUGGGUUCUAAAAGAGGAUCUCAGCUGAUUUCCCACUUGCUGCUACUUUAUUUUGGUGUCUAAAGGCUGAUCAGAACUUCAGGGAGCGCCCGACUCCGCUCUAAGGCCAGCGGUGCCCAGAAGUUCAAAGGACUCAGGGCGGGGCUUGGAGGGCGGAGCCAGGACUACCCUGGCUAGAAGAUAAGAAUUCAGGAUUAACUUUAGUCAAGACCACUCUGAUGCCAGCUUACCAAAGCUACUGGCCAACAUCGUGGUGGUGGUGGUGGGGGAGUCUCCCAGUGAUUUUACUGCUCCACAUGGAGAGGUACAGCUUUGUCCUCAACAGUCAUAUUAGGUGUUUCUAAGAAAGACAAUGAAGUUCAUGGAGGAAGUAUGGGGGGUUGGGGGGGCAGGUUAGUAUUUUGUUUGAGACAGGUCUCACUAUGUUGCUCUGUCUGGCCUGGAACUCACUGUGUAGACCAAGCAUCCUGAGUGCUGAUACAAACGGCGUGCGCCUCCACAAUGAGCAGAAGUGUGCAUCAAGUGAGCAACAAAAGACAUGAGGACUGGAAGCCGCCUUGAAGGCUGCUCUGACUGCAUUGUUAGUGGCUGUCCCUAGACAAGUGCAAGCCCCUGGGACUGUGGGAAAGACUGUAACAGGAUAUUGAUAUUUAUUGAGGUAAGGGCUCAUGAGAUCUCUCUCAUACUUGGAUCUUGAAGGGUUUAUGAUACUUAGGUAGGCCCAGAAGCACACAGUAUGGAAGAGCUAAUUCUAACUCCUCGAAAGCCUUGGAUCCCCUGGGGAAAGGUCACUAGGGGCUUGAUUAGGUCAAAUUAACAACCCAGAACUUUCAGAAGAGGCGGGAUCACACUGCCUGCAGUUGUCAGUAAGAACCGGAAACCCUUGCAACUGUCUUUUCUCUAAUUUGUCUAAGACCCUUUGGGGGUGCCUGGUUUUCUAUAACUAAGAGUUUAUCUCU